Long non-coding RNA from Rattus norvegicus (Norway rat), 4982 nucleotides. RefSeq lists it as uncharacterized. NCBI's taxonomy places the organism in Eukaryota, Metazoa, Chordata, Mammalia, Rodentia, Muridae. The record is from RefSeq and is a predicted model, not a curated record.
AAUGCAGUGAGAAAAGAUGGAUAUAUCACAUUGAAGAUGCAGACAAAAAGGGAAGUGGAGAAAGAAAGUGACCCAGAAAUGUAGAGAAAGCUGACUGCUUGGAUUUGAAAGUUAGAAGAUGGAUGGAUCAAGAAGCAGCAGCUGCCUGUGGGAGAUGAGACAGAUGAAAAGGAAGUGCCUAGAGAACCAUUGGUGGGGUUGGCCAAGUGCUGAGAGGACACUGCCUCUAAUCGUUUGAUUCAGCGUCCUGUUGGAGUCUGACCCAUCCAUCUGCUGUCUCCAGAUGUCUUCCAUUCUACCACAUGCAUGUGCUGUGGCUGGUUCUCUGUCCUUGCUCUUUAAUUCACUCCUGGUCUGUCUACUACCUGCAUGAAUCAGCUGAUCCAGAAUUUCUUCACUCUGUGGCUCCCCCAGUCACGAUCACAUCCUGUUUACAGUUCCUUGAUAUACGACAACUCUGAUGUGCACACUAUUCAUACUAGCCACAUCGUGACAUGAGAGACUAUGGAACAUAUAUCAAUAUCUUUCAUGUAUUUAUAAUACAAUGCUGAGUCUACAUAGAAUACUGACCACUCUUGAGGCAAGUUGUCUGUUUGCUAUUGUUCUCCUUCAAAUGAGACAAACUGGGGUUUUGUUUGCCUAUUAUUUUUUUAAAUUAGUUUUGCGUAAACUUUUACAGAGCAAAGAAUUCUGGGGAAAUACAAUAAUGUAGUAUGGCCAGUAAUUUACAAAUCAUCCACUUACAGUCAAAGAAAAAGGGGAAUAAACUCAGAAAGUAUCAUUAGAGUAGAGCAUAGCGAUUAUAGAAUCUGCAGUUGCACAAAUAUUUUAUUUUAUAUUGCAAAAUUUAAUGGAGAACAAUAAAGGUAUAUUUCCUUUAGAAGAAACUCAUAGGCAGAAUGCUAUUUCCCUAAAAUCCAAGGAGUUUAUGUUGUCAAAUCUGAGGUUAUUUUUUGUGCCCAAAGUGUUUGAUUGAUUCAAUAAUGACUACUAAGCCUAGGGAACGUCUAGAUACUUGCUUGUUUUCCAGGCAAGUACGCUAGGCCAGACCUGCUGUAAAAUCUGCAUUUCUAGUAUUCUACAUUAAGAAUAUUGAGUAAGUCAUUGAUGCAUAUGAGGAAGAGAAAUACAGUUAUAUUAAAUAUGGACAAUUUAACCUAACAAGGUAGAGUAGAAAGAGGAAGGUUUUUGGUAUCAGACUAAAGUUGAAUGUUUUCCUUCUGUUUUUACACAUAGCUCAUCUUUCUGGAUAUUGCUUUCUUCAUAUGAGAAGUUGUAAUCAUAAACUUCCCAAGUUAGCAUGAGGGUUAUAAAAACUGAAGUGUGUAUUCACUAGGACCAUUGCAGGUAUUAUGUUGAAAGACUCAAAAAAUAAGUCAAUUUCAUAUGGAGAAAUUAUUCUAAUACUAAGGAAUGGCUUCUUCUAUUUCCAUUUUUAUGCAGAUAUUUCUUAAAAUUAUAAUAAAUUCAGGGAAGAACAGAAAACAUACUGUAAUUAAAUAACAAAAUUUUAGGUGGAAAAGCCUCAAUAAUAAAUGAUAUAUGAUAUAAAAUUUCUAACCUUAACACAGGCCUCAAAAUUAGAAAAUAAGAUUUACUUUGACUGUAGUUAAAUUGAGGCCUCCUCGUUGUAGUUAAGAAACCGUUUCAGUUAUAUUUAUGUAAUCAAAUUUGUAUUCAAAGUCUGAUCAGAAUGGCAGAAUUGUAAUUAUAUCAAACAUUUUGUUCCUUUUGUGGGAUAAUGCCACAUAUUGUAUUACUGCAUUCUCCACUUCUAUUCCAGCUCCAUCCCAAUAUUAAAGGUUUGAAAAUUCCUCAAAAUAUAUUUUGUGUGAGAUUGGUGUAGAAUCUCCUGCUCAAAUAAGACACCUUCACGGUUUAUUCUAAACAAACAUGACUUAAUUGUGCUUAGCCCAGUACUUCUUAAAUUCAUUUCAGAAGAAAACCUGUGGGUCCCUCAACAUCUAUUAGCAUUUCCCAUGUUAGCAGGGGGAUAUUUGUCAAAUAAAAUAAAGUAGAAUUAAAUGAAAAUGUUAAUCAAUAUGAAUAAAUAAACUCUUCAGAAACACCCAGUGAUUUAUUUAUAAAACAAGUAUAAUAAACUCUGCUGAAAACUAGUUAGUUUAAUUUUAAUCAGUUCUUUGAUCUAUUCCAUUAAGCUAUUAUUAAUCAUUAAAAAUGUUUUGUUUUACUAUUUCUAGUUUGUACCUAUUUUAAAGAAAUAGAAUCAUAUCAGAUAUAUAACUCAAACCUGUUAAUGAUAGACUUUCCAGACUAGUAAAAAUUUAGUCUUGCCUUUCCUUAUUGGAAACACUAAUAUAUCAGAGCCAUUUGCUAUGUCUAUUUUCUGUAUUUUAUCAAGCACAUAUCAGAGGGAAAGGGAUGAAUAUGAAUAGAAAACUGCCUUACAGAGUAUCUACUCACCAGUCCAGUAGUUACCCCAUUAUAUGCUUUCUGAAGUUAGGGCUUUGGAGGCUCGCUAGGUUUCCCACUUGUUCUUGGGUCACAAUUGAUGUUUGUUGAAUAAUACUAGACUUACCCUCUCCUCAGUAAAUUUAUAGUCAGCUGUUUUGUUUGUGUUUGCUUGUUUUUUUCACUGACUCGGUUCUCUCUCGUUUCUGAGCAACAGGUAAGAAUGUCCAUCCGUUCUUCAUCCACAACAGAGAAACAAGAUUAUGUAACAGAAUAAAUAAGCUUCCUUUGACUUGUCUUGUGAAUUCGUAAACUGCUCAAAGGAGGCUUUGGAAUAUUCCUACUGGACAUAUGGGACAGCUAUCUGGAAAAGCCAAAAUAUUUGUAAUUUAUCCGUGAAGACUAGAUCCUCAAGUUUAUGUUCAUCUCUUUUCUCUUUCUCCUCAGUCUUGCCCUAAAAUGUUGCUUUUAAAGAUCUCAGGCAUUUUGAAUCAUACAAGGUUUUAGAUUAGUAUAUGGGGUCUGUAGCAAAUGCUCAGUGCAUGCCAGUGCUUACUGAUAGGGAGUUUUUCUGCAAUGUGUGACAAAACAGGGUAAUGUCUUACGUUCCUAAGUAUUAACACCAUCCUGUUAUGUGACUAAUUUUUUUUAACUUUUUGUUCUUCCUAAUCUAAUUAUUUCCAAACACUUGUAUUUUUAUAUAUGAUUAGGUGCAAUUUUUUCCCCAUUGAAACCAGUUAGAACUUAAAAGUUCACUAUACAUAGCUUUACAAUUAUGUAUUCCUAUAUAAAACUUUCUGUGUGCAUUUUAUGGAGAUGAAAGAAAGAAGUCUGAGUGUCUGGAUAUACCCCAUGUUUAUCUCAUACUGAUAGAUUUUAACGGCUUUAUGAGUACAGUGUUCACGAUGGUUGUUUCCACAUGUGAACACAUAUGGGCAUGAGCAUGUGCACCACACACACACACACACACACACACACACACACACACGUUUUAGAGAAAAUCAAUUCUCCUGGCUUCUCCCAGCACAUUUCCUGAGUCUAAUCUCCCUUCUGCAGCUAUUUCAUGCUCACUGCAGAACAAACAAAAUCUACAUUCAGAACAGGACCCUUCACAAGUUCAAUGGAGUUAUUUUGGGUGAGUCAUUGAAAACACAGUACAAAACCUUUCCUCACUCACCAGAAAUGCAUUUUAAAAAUAAAGCCAAAGUGAACAAGGCUUGGCAAGUUUCAGAGUAAAAUGGGGAGAGAAUGGGGCCUUCGCCAGCCCCAGACAGGAUUUUGGCUAUCUCUUAGCUUCCAACUCCACCAAUUUCUUUUGUUCCCACUAACCAAAAAGUGCAAAGUUGAAUAGGUAAGACAUCAAAAUAAUGGCACAUCAGUUCAACUCAGCACCUCCACAGCAGGUCUCCAGCAGAGCCCAUGUGUCUUGUAGCUUAGAACAGUUUUAAGACUUCUUUGUGUCUUUCUUUCCUUAGGGGUACUAGGGUACACACAUUAAGAAGUCACUGUCUUCAGACUUUUAGACAAAUAAUUAAAAAGAAUUAAAAGUAGUAUAUAAGUGUAAUAUCCCUUCCUAUAAAAUAGCUUUUAAGUAAGUGGAGCCUCAUGAAAGUUAAUCCAGUAACCAAGUAUUAGAGGAAGUAGAACUGUGAAGACACAAUAAGCCAGCUUCUAAGAAGAUUUUUAAGCUGAAUUUUAUAAUAAAUAAGUCUUUGUAAUAGUUGUGUGAACCUGAGAUUUUUAACAUAGAGCUAUUCAAGAUUUAUAAGUCACUGUGAAUUACUUCCUAUUAACCAUGUUACUCACCCAAUACCGUGAAGAAAUCUUAUUUUCCACAAGGCACUGCAGAUCACACACACAGGUACUCACAUCUCAUAGGCGAGGAGAAACUCAAAUUCCACAAAGAGAUAUGGUAUCUGGUUUGUUAUUCUGAGUUCUGUAUGUCAAUAUGUGGGUAUGUCCACAUGUACACAGGUGCCAAGAAGGCUACAAGGGUUGUGAUCCUCCACAUAUGGGUGCUGGAAAUGGAACCCUCAUACCCUUUACAGAAGCAGCAAGGUCCCUUAUCCAUGAAACUGUCUUUCCAACCCCAUGGAGAUAUGUUUAAAAAAUUGUGGUAACUCAAAACUCUUGCUAUAGAAUUUCAUAGUUCCUAAAAUCACCUUUAACACAGGUUGACCCAAAUAUUAUUGUGAGCAAAUUAACAUAUACUGUAGAGGAUCCCCCAGUAAGAAGUAUCCUAUUCAUAAAAGUCCCAUCUCCAAGUUAUAGGAAAAGCCAAAAAAUACUGAUUACCUAUAUACAUUUUAACCUUGGGCCCUGAAAAUCACCAGUUUUCACAUGUCAGGGUGACAACUGUUAGUAAGGAAAAAAAAUCUCUACAUUUGAAAUUUAAUCUGCCUGUGGAAAUACAAUGUCCAAAAUAAAUAGAUAUCCUGCUCUAGUUGAAAAUGUCAUAGUACUCCAUUUCCUACAUUUGGAGAAUUUCUUUUCUUUCACUUCUCUUUUGGGGUAAAGUGGUAGUUUUUAAAUAAUAAAAUAAGAACUUAUGUUUCUUCAUGUGUCUAAAA